RNAcentral lists this ribosomal RNA (305 nucleotides) under uncultured bacterium. Its description in RNAcentral is "bacterial SSU rRNA". It matches the Rfam family "Bacterial small subunit ribosomal RNA", at positions 337 to 638 of the family's 1533-position model. The record is from RNAcentral.
UCCUACGGGAGGCAGCAGGGAAUUUUCGUCAAUGGGCGCAAGCCUGAACGAGCAAUGCCGCGUGAACGAGGAAGGUCUUCGGAUCGUAAAGUUCUGUUGAAGGGGAAAAAGAGCGGAGAGAGGAAAUGGUCUCCGAUUGAUAUUACCCUUCGAGGAAGUCACGGCUAACUACGUGCCAGCAGCCGCGGUAAUACGUAGGUGGCGAGCGUUAUCCGGAAUGAUUGGGCGUAAAGGGUGCGUAGGCGGCCUGCUAAGUCUGGAGUGAAAGGUACCGGCUCAACCGGUACAGGCUCUGGAAACUGGCG